Molecule: long non-coding RNA, 1214 nt
Organism: Oncorhynchus tshawytscha (Chinook salmon)
Lineage: Eukaryota; Metazoa; Chordata; Actinopteri; Salmoniformes; Salmonidae
Exons: 3
Source: RefSeq, a predicted model, not a curated record
CACUAGUUGGAUCAGAGUGUGGUUGGUGGCGUUCAUGCAGGACCCCAGAGGGUAUAAUAAUGUGUACAUCACUUUUUCGAGGACAAUUUGUAGACGACAGCUAGUUAGGCCUACGUUUUGAAUUGUUGCAUUUUGUUUUAAGUGGGUCGCCACGCGUCAUUCAUGCAGCACUUUGAGAGCAAGCAUCCCAAAUCCCCAAUGCCCCCAGAGCUGGAUGAUGCUGAGGCUUAAAAGACCAACGCACACAAUGGACCUACAGCUGGGUUUCUAUUCUCUCAUCAUUCAGACUCCCAGUUUACAUACACACGAUGACCACGAUUAGAGAGCUGCAACUGGAACUUAAUGGCGUCAAGAGACAAAAUACUGAGACCCCUGGACAUGGGUGGGGGAUAUUUGUGACAAUGACCUAAAAAAGGGGGCAGAAGCACACCAGCACCCUAUCUUAUAUGUCCAACCACCCCUCAACUUCAGACUCUUUUGAAGCACCCAUCUUAAUUAUAUGAGCCCACUCUACCUACAUCCCUUUUCCCCAUGCUGCUUCCUUCAAUAAUACCUGAUUCAAUAACAUCUAGACUGUUACACGUCUAAAAGUAUCAGGGUGUUAUUGUUUUUGCAACUUUUUCUCAGUUGUGUACCGCUGUCUUACUUUAACCCACAACUCUUUUCUAUACCUCCUCCCAUACACUCUUGUGCAAAUCAUUUCUGCUUUCUUUGAGAAUGGUGUCAUAGUGGAAAGGAUUUGUUAUUUGUCCAAGACUGAGUCUUGUUCUGCCUGUAAAAGGCCCUGGUUGAAACAGUGCCAAAAUCACUGUGGAUAGUCGCCGGGUCCACGUUGUAACAGUUGUAUUUUGCAUUUGACCAUUUCCAAGAAAUGUAGCAAUAUAUAUGAAAUCAUUCCUCUGCCUAUUUGAUCCAUUCUGAAGGAAAGCAGUGAAUACGUUUUGUGUGUGAGAGAAUAUUUAUGCCUUGUAAUUCUAGCAGAAAAUGUGUUACUUCCAAAUGCAAGUUAAACGCCAUUCCUUCUAUACUGAUACCAGACAAAUGUAUACUUACAAGUAUUUUCAAAUGUAUUUCCAAUAUACUGCAAUGGUAUGUAGCUGAAGAGUGGUGACACUGUUUAGGAUAGGAGUGUCAAUGGCAUUUACUCUCACGUCUGCAUCAAAUCAACCUCUGCAAUAAAUAUUCUAGUUUGUUUUAUUAAAAAUAUAGCAGUA